CUAUAGGGCGACAUAUGAUCGAUGAUAUCCCAUGGGCGGCCGCCUGCAGACCAGGUCUAGAGUUUGAGUUUGAUCCUGGCUCAGAUUGAACGCUGGCGGCAGGCCUAACACAUGCAAGUCGAGCGGAUGAAGGGAGCUUGCUCCCGGAUUCAGCGGCGGACGGGUGAGUAAUGCCUAGGAAUCUGCCUGGUAGUGGGGGAUAACGUCCGGAAACGGGCGCUAAUACCGCAUACGUCCUGAGGGAGAAAGUGGGGGAUCUUCGGACCUCACGCUAUCAGAUGAGCCUAGGUCGGAUUAGCUAGUUGGUGGGGUAAAGGCCUACCAAGGCGACGAUCCGUAACUGGUCUGAGAGGAUGAUCAGUCACACUGGAACUGAGACACGGUCCAGACUCCUACGGGAGGCAGCAGUGGGGAAUAUUGGACAAUGGGCGAAAGCCUGAUCCAGCCAUGCCGCGUGUGUGAAGAAGGUCUUCGGAUUGUAAAGCACUUUAAGUUGGGAGGAAGGGCAGUAAGUUAAUACCUUGCUGUUUUGACGUUACCAACAGAAUAAGCACCGGCUAACUUCGUGCCAGCAGCCGCGGUAAUACGAAGGGUGCAAGCGUUAAUCGGAAUUACUGGGCGUAAAGCGCGCGUAGGUGGUUCAGCAAGUUGGAUGUGAAAUCCCCGGGCUCAACCUGGGAACUGCAUCCAAAACUACUGAGCUAGAGUACGGUAGAGGGUGGUGGAAUUUCCUGUGUAGCGGUGAAAUGCGUAGAUAUAGGAAGGAACACCAGUGGCGAAGGCGACCACCUGGACUGAUACUGACACUGAGGUGCGAAAGCGUGGGGGGCAAACAGGAUUAGAUACCCUGGUAGUCCACGCCGUAAACGAUGUCGACUAGCCGUUGGGAUCCUUGAGAUCUUAGUGGCGCAGCUAACGCGAUAAGUCGACCGCCUGGGGAGUACGGCCGCAAGGUUAAAACUCAAAUGAAUUGACGGGGGCCCGCACAAGCGGUGGAGCAUGUGGUUUAAUUCGAAGCAACGCGAAGAACCUUACCUGGCCUUGACAUGCUGAGAACUUUCCAGAGAUGGAUUGGUGCCUUCGGGAACUCAGACACAGGUGCUGCAUGGCUGUCGUCAGCUCGUGUCGUGAGAUGUUGGGUUAAGUCCCGUAACGAGCGCAACCCUUGUCCUUAGUUACCAGCACCUCGGGUGGGCACUCUAAGGAGACUGCCGGUGACAAACCGGAGGAAGGUGGGGAUGACGUCAAGUCAUCAUGGCCCUUACGGCCAGGGCUACACACGUGCUACAAUGGUCGGUACAAAGGGUUGCCAAGCCGCGAGGUGGAGCUAAUCCCAUAAAACCGAUCGUAGUCCGGAUCGCAGUCUGCAACUCGACUGCGUGAAGUCGGAAUCGCUAGUAAUCGUGAAUCAGAAUGUCACGGUGAAUACGUUCCCGGGCCUUGUACACACCGCCCGUCACACCAUGGGAGUGGGUUGCUCCAGAAGUAGCUAGUCUAACCGCAAGGGGGACGGUUACCACGGAGUGAUUCAUGACUGGGGUGAAGUCGUAACAAGGUAACCAAGACUGGAGAUCUGG
This 1577-nucleotide ribosomal RNA is filed under the name bacterium M133-2. Its description in RNAcentral is "partial 16S ribosomal RNA". It matches the Rfam family "Bacterial small subunit ribosomal RNA". The record is from RNAcentral.